Molecule: long non-coding RNA, 2125 nt
Filed under: Zea mays
Lineage: Eukaryota; Viridiplantae; Streptophyta; Magnoliopsida; Poales; Poaceae
Description: long non-coding RNA (ZMAY_LNC004926)
Source: RNAcentral
CUGGCGGUCCCUGUUCCCAUCGUCGCCCGUGGCCCGUUCCAGCAGCCGGCAUCACCCUCAGCCACGACCUCCGACCACCGGCUAUCGUCCGACCUCAGACCCGUGCAGCAGCGAGCAAGCGGCGCGCGGGGCCCCGGGCGGCCUCCGCCUCCGCGAAGUCAGCGAGGCGCUGGAGCACGCGUCGAGCGUUUUGGCGGAUACGUUGGCGAAGCAGACGCGGAACCACCGGGCUCGCUGCAGUGGCAGGAGGAGACCGGGGAGACGUUGAGCCCGCGACCUAGAACGACAGCUUCCUCCAUAGCUCAAUCUCUCCCUCGAACGACGCCGCGGGGCCCGAAGGCGUCGCAUGUCGGCCCAGCAGAAGAGCCCCGCGCUGCCCUCCAGGCACGCGACGCCGGCUGCCGCAAGGCCCGCCGCCAGCCUGGGAGUGAAAGAGUCAACACGGCCCUCGUCUUCAGUGGGAUUAGAAAAAAUAGAUUGAUUUAGUUAAUUGACUCUUGCUCAUCUUCAGUGGCACACGCAAAGACAACCGACGAAAAAUGAAUCGAAUGUGCUCCACCAUGUUUUCUGUCGUGUGACCAAAAUGGAGCAAUAUGCAUAGCUUUUUUUGCAGGGACAUUUAGAAAGAAUAAACAUCAAUACUCAAGACAUUCUCCAAAAAUGUCAAGAAGUUUCUUAGAGAAAUGACACCUUUGCCACAUCGUAAGAACAAUUACUUCUACUACUUGGUAUAUUUUUUAGUUUCCUAUUAUUUCCCUUUGAGCUUUAAUUUGUUCAAACCUGAGUUCACAUACAUUAUUUAUUUAGAUAAGCCGCUGGUUAUAGUGUUAGUAUUAGUAUGAGGCUACCAGCUAUGGAUGUUGGGGAUGCUACAGAGCUGCAGAGUGACCAAUUUUUUUUAGAUUAGUCUUUUAGGCAAACUAUUAACUCAUUGAUAGUAUCAUAGUCAGGGUCCUGAGUUGGAGGCCUAGCUAGAGUGGGGAGGGAGGGAGAGGAGGUGUUCUUGAUGAGAGUUGGACACAGACUGGAGUUUCUACAGCUUAGACAUUUUCAAAACAAUUUAUUGGUUGUUUAAUCAUUUGAUGGUAAUGUUUCAAGUAUAUGGCAUUUUUCUGGGUUCUAAACUUGUUUAUUAUUGCUCAAAUCUAUUGUGGUUCUUACUGGGUUGGGACAAAUAUGUGCUUCCUCAGGUUAGGAAACUGGAGGUGUAAAUCAUCAGUUAUUAAUACAAGAAAGGUUACAAACCAAUAGAUCAUCCUUUGCUCCUAGAUCCAAGAAAAACAGUGAAAUUUGGCCCAUAUGACAACUCAGUUACAACCAAAAUAUAGCGUAAUGAUCCAUGUUGCACCUAACCGCAAUAGAAACUCACUGGUUUCCUUCAUCUUGUUUAGAGUGAGAUAUGUUGUUUGUAGCUUAUAGAAUAUUACAAUACAAAGGAGAAACAUAUGGUGCAGACGUUUGCCGUUUCUCCCACUCUCUCGAGCAGAAUGCAACUUGGGGAAAUGUUUCAUGAGUUCCAUUUAUCAGAUUAAAACAUUGAAUCAUCUUUCUACAUAGAGCAGCAAAGCCUGCCAUUGCGAAUUUGCACGACUUGAAGCAUCCAAUUGAGUAACUCUGAAUCAGGUCGUGCUUCUGUUUCUCUGAUGUACAAUUAUAACAUACAUCUGAUUUUAUUUGCUCAAUGGUUGCUCUCAUGUUUACGGAGACGACUUUGGCUUGACGGAUGAAGACAUGUGUCCAUAUGAAUAUACACCCACUCCACGCUUCUUUCCAAGUCGACCAGCAUCAACAUACUAAACGAGAAGAGGGAAAUGAAGGAGGCCUACGGAAUGAUACUUAAAGCUGUGCUGCAAUGGGUUGAGAGCAACAUGAACCCCAAAACUUCAAGUGUUUUUCUGUCACUAUGUCACCCUCUCAUACAAGGUAAGCCUGAAAGGUAAGCUUCUUUGACAUGCUUUGUGUGCUAUUUUCAUAAAAUUUGAAGAAGUAUGGAAAAUGAUUCCUUGUCUUUCAUUCUGUUGUCUAUGUAGAUUAUUGAAUGGCUACUAAGUUCUCUCCUGGAGUUGUGCUCAUAGUUCAAAGUCAAACAACUGGUGAAGUGUUGUAAAGAAAUCAUUGACUGAUU